This 73-nucleotide transfer RNA is filed under the name Bacteroidota bacterium. RNAcentral describes it as "tRNA-Thr". It matches the Rfam family "tRNA". Rfam says of the family: Transfer RNA (tRNA) molecules are approximately 80 nucleotides in length. Their secondary structure includes four short double-helical elements and three loops (D, anti-codon, and T loops). RNAcentral also lists the same sequence under 3 other names. Lineage: Bacteria; Pseudomonadati; Bacteroidota. The record is from RNAcentral.
GCCGAAGUAGCUCAGCUGGUAGAGCUCCUGAUUUGUAAUCAGGCGGUCGGGGGUUCGAGUCCCUUCUUCGGCU